ACGAACGCUGGCGGCGUGCCUAAUACAUGCAAGUAGAACGCUGAAGAGAGGAGCUUGCUCUUCUUGGAUGAGUUGCGAACGGGUGAGUAACGCGUAGGUAACCUGCCUUGUAGCGGGGGAUAACUAUUGGAAACGAUAGCUAAUACCGCAUAACAAUGGAUGACACAUGUCAUUUAUUUGAAAGGGGCAAUUGCUCCACUACAAGAUGGACCUGCGUUGAAUUAGCUAGUAGGUGAGGUAACGGCUCACCUAGGCGACGAUACAUAGCCGACCUGAGAGGGUGAUCGGCCACACUGGGACUGAGACACGGCCCACACUCCUACGGGAGGCAGCAGUAGGGAAUCUUCGGCAAUGGGGGCAACCCUGACCGAGCAACGCCGCGUGAGUGAAGAAGGUUUUCGGAUCGUAAAGCUCUGUUGUAAGUCAAGAACGAGUGUGAGAGUGGAAAGUUCACACUGUGACGGUAGCUUACCAGAAAGGGACGGCUAACUACGUGCCAGCAGCCGCGGUAAUACGUAGGUCCCGAGCGUUGUCCGGAUUUAUUGGGCGUAAAGCGAGCGCAGGCGGUUUGAUAAGUCUGAAGUUAAAGGCUGUGGCUCAACCAUAGUUCGCUUUGGAAACUGUCGAACUUGAGUGCAGAAGGGGAGAGUGGAAUUCCAUGUGUAGCGGUGAAAUGGGUAGAUAUAUGGAGGAACACCGGUGGCGAAAGCGGCUCUCUGGUCUGUAACUGACGCUGAGGCUCGAAAGCGUGGGGAGCGAACAGGAUUAGAUACCCUGGUAGUCCACGCCGUAAACGAUGAGUGCUAGGUGUUGGAUCCUUUCCGGGAUUCAGUGCCGCAGCUAACGCAUUAAGCACUCCGCCUGGGGAGUACGACCGCAAGGUUGAAACUCAAAGGAAUUGACGGGGGCCCGCACAAGCGGUGGAGCAUGUGGUUUAAUUCGAAGCAACGCGAAGAACCUUACCAGGUCUUGACAUCCCGAUGCUAUUUCUAGAGAUAGAAAGUUACUUCGGUACAUCGGUGACAGGUGGUGCAUGGUUGUCGUCAGCUCGUGUCGUGAGAUGUUGGGUUAAGUCCCGCAACGAGCGCAACCCCUAUUGUUAGUUGCCAUCAUUCAGUUGGGCACUCUAGCGAGACUGCCGGUAAUAAACCGGAGGAAGGUGGGGAUGACGUCAAAUCAUCAUGCCCCUUAUGACCUGGGCUACACACGUGCUACAAUGGUUGGUACAACGAGUUGCGAGUCGGUGACGGCAAGCUAAUCUCUUAAAGCCAAUCUCAGUUCGGAUUGUAGGCUGCAACUCGCCUACAUGAAGUCGGAAUCGCUAGUAAUCGCGGAUCAGCACGCCGCGGUGAAUACGUUCCCGGGCCUUGUACACACCGCCCGUCACACCACGAGAGUUUGUAACACCCGAAGUCGGUGAGGUAACCUUUUGGAGCCAGCCGCCUAAGGUGGGAU
Molecule: ribosomal RNA, 1455 nt
Filed under: uncultured organism
Description: 16S ribosomal RNA
Rfam family: Bacterial small subunit ribosomal RNA
Source: RNAcentral